This 496-nucleotide ribosomal RNA is filed under the name uncultured bacterium. RNAcentral's name for it is "bacterial SSU rRNA". It matches the Rfam family "Bacterial small subunit ribosomal RNA", at positions 19 to 518 of the family's 1533-position model. The record is from RNAcentral.
CUGGCUCAGGAUGAACGCUGGCGGCGUGCUUAAUACAUGCAAGUCGAACGAAGCACUUCAGCAGAUCCCUCGGGGUGAAGCCGGUGUGACUUAGUGGCGGACGGGUGAGUAACGCGUGGGUAACCUGCCUAUACAGGGGGAUAACAGCUGGAAACGACUGCUAAUACCCCAUAAGCGCACGGCACCGCAUGAUGCAGUGUGAAAAGAUUUAUCGGUAUAAGAUGGACCCGCGUCUGAUUAGUAGUGGCGGGUAACGGCCACCAAGACCGCGAUCAGUAGCCGACUUGAGAGAGUGAUCGGCCACAUUGGGACUGAGACACGGCCCAGACUCCUACGGGAGGCAGCAGUAGGGAAUAUUGCACAAUGGGGGAAACCCUGAUGCAGCGACGCCCGCGUGAGUGAUUGAAGUAUUUCGGUAUAGUAAAGCUCUAUCAGCAGGGAAGAUAAUGACGGUACCUGACUAAGAAGCCCCGGCUAACUACGUGCCAGCAGCUGC